UACGGAGGGUGCGAGCGUUGUCCGGAAUCACUGGGCGUAAAGGGCGCGUAGGCGGCCUGAUAAGUAGGGGGUGAAAUCCUGCGGCUUAACCGCAGGGCUGCCUUCUAAACUGUCAGGCUGGAGCAUAGUAGAGGCAGGUGGAAUUCCCGGUGUAGCGGUGGAAUGCGUAGAGAUCGGGAAGAACAUCAGUGGCGAAGGCGGCCUGCUGGGCUGUUGCUGACGCUGAGGCGCGACAGCGUGGGGAGCAAACAGG
RNAcentral lists this ribosomal RNA (253 nucleotides) under uncultured bacterium. RNAcentral describes it as "partial 16S ribosomal RNA". It matches the Rfam family "Bacterial small subunit ribosomal RNA", at positions 524 to 776 of the family's 1533-position model. The record is from RNAcentral.